Molecule: non-coding RNA, 44 nt
Filed under: Schistosoma mattheei
Lineage: Eukaryota; Metazoa; Platyhelminthes; Trematoda; Strigeidida; Schistosomatidae
Source: RNAcentral
ACCAGCUGAUGAGUCCCAAAUAGGUCGAAACGCACGUCUUGGAU